This 425-nucleotide ribosomal RNA is filed under the name uncultured bacterium. RNAcentral's name for it is "partial 16S ribosomal RNA". It matches the Rfam family "Bacterial small subunit ribosomal RNA", at positions 354 to 796 of the family's 1533-position model. The record is from RNAcentral.
GUUGGGAAUCUUGGACAAUGGGGGAAACCCUGAUCCAGCCAUGCCGCGUGAGUGAUGAAGGCCUUCGGGUUGUAAAACUCUUUCGACGGGGACGAUAAUGACGGUACCCGUAGAAGAAGCUCCGGCUAACUUCGUGCCAGCAGCCGCGGUAAUACGAAGGGGGCUAGCGGUGUUCGGAAUUACUGGGCGUAAAGCGCGCGCAGGCGGCUAUCCAAGUCAGUGGUGAAAGCCCGGAGCUCAACUCCGGAACUGCCAUUGAAACUGUUUAGCUUGAGGACGAGAGAGGUGAGUGGAAUUCCCAGUGUAGAGGUGAAAUUCGUAGAUAUUGGGAAGAACACCGGUGGCGAAGGCGGCUCACUGGCUCGUAUCUGACGCUCAGGCGCGAUAGCGUGGGGAUCAAACAGGAUUAGAAACCCGAGUAGUCC